Molecule: ribosomal RNA, 427 nt
Filed under: uncultured bacterium
Lineage: Bacteria
Description: partial 16S ribosomal RNA
Rfam family: Bacterial small subunit ribosomal RNA
Source: RNAcentral
UGGGGAAUAUUGCACAAUGGGCGCAAGCCUGAUGCAGCCAUGCCGCGUGUAUGAAGAAGGCCUUCGGGUUGUAAAGUACUUUCAGCGGGGAGGAAGGUGUUGAGGUUAAUAACCUCAGCAAUUGACGUUACCCGCAGAAGAAGCACCGGCUAACUCCGUGCCAGCAGCCGCGGUAAUACGGAGGGUGCAAGCGUUAAUGGGAAUUACUGGGCGUAAAGCGCACGCAGGCGGUCUGUCAAGUCGGAUGUGAAAUCCCCGGGCUCAACCUGGGAACUGCAUUCGAAACUGGCAGGCUAGAGUCUUGUAGAGGGGGGUAGAAUUCCAGGUGUAGCGGUGAAAUGCGUAGAGAUCUGGAGGAAUACCGGUGGCGAAGGCGGCCCCCUGGACAAAGACUGACGCUCAGGUGCGAAAGCGUGGGGAGCAAACA